Long non-coding RNA from Alnus glutinosa, 626 nucleotides. RefSeq lists it as uncharacterized. NCBI's taxonomy places the organism in Eukaryota, Viridiplantae, Streptophyta, Magnoliopsida, Fagales, Betulaceae. The transcript is spliced from 2 exons. The record is from RefSeq and is a predicted model, not a curated record.
CAGAGAAAAACCUUCCCUGAUCUUGCUCUUCUGCCUAUCUAUCUCCUGCUUUUGUGUGCUCUCCUACUUGUAAUCUUUCCUGUUAAUUUCUGGAAACGAGGAGGAAGGUGCACCCAAAGUAUAUAUAUAUAUAUAUAUAUUCUUCCAUGCUCUUUAAUAUCUUUUGUAUCUACUGAGCAGGGAAACGAGGAGGAAGGUGCACCCGGCCCUACUUUGAUUGACUAACCGGUCUUUAAUAUCUUUUGCAUCUACUGAGAAGGGAAACGAGGAGGAAGGUGCACCCGGCCCUACUUUGAUUGACUGACCGGCGAGUGAAAGGAGAAGGAGAAGAGUAGGAUUUGUUCACGGGUUUGUAACUGUCCAAAGAGUAGGAAUUGUUCAAAAUUAGGUGGCCUCUUUCUCAGGUCGUUUCAUGGUACGUACAUACAUAUUGGAUUUUAUAAAUUUACUAGUAUAUAUAUAUUUUUCACAUCAUUUGAAAUCGAUUUUAAAUGAUGUGAUAGUAUGUACUUAGUUAAUCAAACUGAACCAAAUUUGAACUGUAAAAUAGCCUUUCUACGAGGAUCUAUUCCGAUUGAGUUCAAGCCUUCAUAGUCAAUGAAAGUAUUUCUGCUUGGAAGUUUUCA